UCUCUCUCUCUCUCUCUCUGUUCCUCCCCUUCUCAUUUUUUUCUCUCUCUCAAAAUAAAUUAAUUAAUUAAAAAAUAAACUUAGAUUAAGAGAUCUCUUAAACAACAUCAAGGAAACACAGAUUCACACUUAUAGAGGUCCCAGAAGAAGAAGAAAGAGAGAAAGGUGUAGAAAGCAUGUUUGAAGAAAUAAUAACUGAAAACUUACCUAAGCUAGGGAAGGAAAUAGACAUCCAAGUCCAAGAAGCACAGAGAAUAAGAUGAAGCCAAGGAGUUCCACAUCACAGCACAUAAUAAUUAAAAUGUCAAAGUUUAAAAAUUAAGAGAAAAAUCUUAAAGACAGCAAGAGAGAAACAAAAGUUACCUACAAGGAAAAACUUAAAAGGCUGUCAGCUGAGUUUUUGGCAGAAACUUGGCAGGCCAGAAUGGAAUGGCAUGGUAUAUUCAAAGUGCUGAAAGGAAAAAAACCUGCAACCAAGAAUACUUUACCAGGAAAGUUUAUUCAGAUUGGAAAGUGAGGUAAAGAGGUUCCUAGACAAGCAAAAGUUAAAGGAGUUUAUCACCACUACACCAGCCUUCCAAGAAAUGUUAAAGGAAAUUCUUUAAAUGGAAAAGAAAUGGUUCUAAUUAAACAUGAGGAAGUUAUGAAUAAAAAGAUGUAAAAUAUGACAACAUAUAUGUAAAAUGUAGAGAAGGGAGUUAAAAGGGAAGGGAAGAGGGUAAAGAAAAAGAAGGUUACCCCCCCCCACCUUUUUCUGUGUGUUUGUGUUUGGCACGUGUUUGAACUUAAAUGACCGUCGUAUCUAUAUAGACUGCUAUUUACUUUGGAUGUUAUAUAUCAACUUCACAGUAACCACAAACCCAAACCUUUGGUAGAUAUACAAAAAAUAAAGAGAAAGAAAGCCAAAUGUAACACUAUAGAAACUCAUCAGUCACAAAGAGAGCAAGAAGAAUCGAACAAGGAACUACACAAGUAACUAGAAAAUAAAUUUAAAAUGGCAAUAAAUACAUAGCUAUCAGUAUGCCUAAAUACUCCAAUCAAAAGACAUAGGGUGGGGAAUGGAUAAAAAAGCAAGACCUAUCAAAUGCUGCCUGCAGAGACUCCCCUCAGACCUAAGGGUGCAGACAGACUGAAAGUAAAAGGAUGGAAAACACUCACCAGGCAAAUGGAAGAAAAAAAAAAGCUGGGAUAGCAAUACGUGUAUCAGACAAAACAGACUUUAAAACAAAAACUAACAAGAGACAAAGUCCUUACAUAAUGAUAAGGGGGUCAAUCCAACAAGAGAAUAUAACAAUUGCAAAUAUCUAUGCACCUGACACUGGAACGCCUAAAUACAUAAAGCAAAUAUUAACAGACAUAAAGAGAGAGAUUGAUAGUAGUAAAAUAAUGGUAGGAGAAGUCAUGAGAAUAAGAGGGACGGAGUCAAUGGUAUUAUAAUAGUGAUGUAACAGGUCAGAUGGUAGCUACACAUGAACAUAGCGUAAUGUAUAAACCUGUCAAAUCACUAAGUUGAAUACCUGAAACUAAUGUAACGUUGUAUGUCAAUUACACUCAAAGUAAAAAAAAAAAAAAAAAAAUAGGAGGUUUACCUUAAAAGCACACGGCUACAAAGGCCUAGCUUGACAAAACUAGGAUCAAUUGUUUGGUUCUCAGUAAUCCAGUACACUGAUGAUACAAUUGAGGAGUGAUAUAAUGUAAUCACACCCAAAAUUAGCUUAAUAUUUACCUCAUAAUUUAUUUAAAACUGGAAAAUUAUUCAUUUUUCCCUUUAUCAUCAUCAUUACCAUGGUCUGCACAGUAGGUGGCGACAUUGCCUCACUCCUGGAAUCAACCAGGAUGGCCUUAACUACAAUACACAGAUGCAAACUUUGAAACAAGUUUCAGGGACCUAAAUUGGCCAAAAUUAAAAACAUUGCCCUUUCGGUGAGCCUGGCUAGCUCAGUCAGUGGAGCAUGAAACUCUUGAUCUCAGGGUUGUGAGUUUAAGCCCCAUGGGUGUAGAGAUUACUUUAAAAAAUAGCAAUAAUAAAUAUAUACAUACAUACAUACACAGCCCUUUCUAUUUACCUUAAGGUCGUAUGAAUAAUACCUCAUUAUAACACAUCAAAUUUUUAUAUAUUUUACAUAGAGUUUAAUAAGUAUUUACUGACUAAUUCAUUUUGCCAGUGAAUGUCAAUAAACUAGUUUCCUAUUUUUAAAAAUAAUAUUCACUUAAUCUUCAUCAUGCGAAUGUAAUGAACUGUCUUUUUUUUAGUUUUAAUGUAAAGAAAUUAUUUGUUUAUACUUGGUUUCAUUUUGUAUUCGUCAUUUAAUGAUGUUUAUUAGGCUAUGAUGAUUGAACUCCAUGAAUCUCUGUAGAGGUACAGUCAGAAGAACAAACACCUGGCAGGGCGCUAAAGACAGGCUCCUGCACUUCAGGACACAAUUUUCCUGCCCGAAACCACCCAAGGGCCAGGUAGCAGACAACCAGAGAGACCACACCUGUAGCCCCGAGCCCACAGAAGUUAUUCAAACUAUCUGAUCCUAAACCUAUUCAGCUGCUCACUCUGCCUCAUCUGUUCUGUCCCAUGAAAACUGCAAUCAAGUCUUUUGGCCACGCUUUCCCCUGGCUUGUUGUGCCUCCACACUGACCACGGUGCUUCCUGUGGCCCUGGGUAGCAUGUUGUGCCUCCUCUCCCUGGGAACUGUAAGUAACCCACCAUCUUUUCAGUGGCAGUCGUCUGCUGAUCAGUUGGCUUUACUGAAUAAAAACAAAAUCCUGGGUA
Molecule: long non-coding RNA, 2764 nt
Organism: Felis catus (domestic cat)
Lineage: Eukaryota; Metazoa; Chordata; Mammalia; Carnivora; Felidae
Exons: 2
Source: RefSeq, a predicted model, not a curated record